UGAGGAAUAUUGGUCAAUGGUCGCAAGACUGAACCAGCCAUGCCGCGUGCAAGGAAGACGGUCCUAUGGAUUGUAACUGCUUUAUACAGGGAAGAAAACCCUCCCACCGUGUGGGAAGCUUGACGGUACUGUAGGAAUAAAGGAUCCGCUAACUCCGGUGC
This 161-nucleotide ribosomal RNA is filed under the name uncultured bacterium. RNAcentral describes it as "partial 16S ribosomal RNA". It matches the Rfam family "Bacterial small subunit ribosomal RNA", at positions 355 to 508 of the family's 1533-position model. The record is from RNAcentral.